Molecule: ribosomal RNA, 287 nt
Filed under: uncultured bacterium
Lineage: Bacteria
Description: partial 16S ribosomal RNA
Source: RNAcentral
CUACCUCCGGGUUCGACCUUUGGANCGAACGGCAUUUGGGGAUACNUGGGCCUUGGUGUAAGCCGGCUUCACUUCGGAGAGGUUGGUUGNCUUGGGNCGGGGCACAACCCCUGUGGGGNGGUUUUGUUGAGGCGCGGGUUCGCGAAUAGGGUCGAACUGCUUUCGGUUCGCCGGCAGACCGUGGUGUGGAAUANGUANCUUCGUAUACAUAUGCUAUCUUCGCNNUCUAGUGGNGCUGANGGCGUGGAGUGAGUAUGAUUGCUGNUGCGGUGNGCGCUGGCGGAGUC